This is a non-coding RNA of Lontra canadensis (Northern American river otter), 559 nucleotides long. NCBI's taxonomy places the organism in Eukaryota, Metazoa, Chordata, Mammalia, Carnivora, Mustelidae. The record is from the annotation of a RefSeq genome assembly.
UGUGACAUAAAAGACCAACUUGAAUCUUGCUUGGACUUACCAAGACUCCUCAGUUCAACUUCUCAAAAUGAGGUUCCCUGCUCAACUCUUUGCACUGCUAAUGGUUUGGUUCCCUGGAUCCAGCGGGGAAAUCGUGAUGACACAGACCCCACUGUCCCUGCCCGUCACCCCUGGAGAGCCGGCCUCCAUCUCCUGCAGGGCCAGUCAGAGCCUCCUGCACAGUAAUGGAAAAACCUAUUUGGGUUGGUUCCGGCAGAAGCCAGGCCAGUCCCCGCAGGGCCUUAUCUACUUAGUUUCCAACCGUUUCACUGGGGUCCCAGACAGAUUCAGUGGCAGUGGGUCAGGGAAAGAUUUCACCCUGACCAUCAGCAGGGUGGAGGCUGAUGACGUGGGAGUUUAUUACUGCGGGCAAAAUCUACAGUCUCCUCCCACAGUGGUUCAGGCCCGAACACAAACCUCCUGCCUGGGGUCCCGGCUGCCCCAGUGAGCAGCUUCUCUGGGGAACUCACAGGACGUUCUCUGAGUCUGUGUGAGAGGAAGGAGCUGGAGGCCCCGGGGG